Molecule: ribosomal RNA, 468 nt
Filed under: uncultured bacterium
Lineage: Bacteria
Description: partial 16S ribosomal RNA
Rfam family: Bacterial small subunit ribosomal RNA
Source: RNAcentral
GACGAACGCUGGCGGCGUGCUUAACACAUGCAAGUCGAACGGAAAGGCCCUGCUUUUGUGGGGUGCUCGAGUGGCGAACGGGUGAGUAACACGUGAGUAACCUGCCCUUGACUUUGGGAUAACUUCAGGAAACUGGGGCUAAUACCGGAUAGGAGCUCCUGCUGCAUGGUGGGGGUUGGAAAGUUUCGGCGGUUGGGGAUGGACUCGCGGCUUAUCAGCUUGUUGGUGGGGUAGUGGCUUACCAAGGCUUCGACGGGUAGCCGGCCUGAGAGGGUGACCGGCCACAUUGGGACUGAGAUACGGCCCAGACUCCUACGGGAGGCAGCAGUGGGGAAUAUUGCACAAUGGGCGGAAGCCUGAUGCAGCAACGCCGCGUGCGGGAUGACGGCCUUCGGGUUGUAAACCGCUUUCGCCUGUGACGAAGCGUGAGUGACGGUAAUGGAUAAAGAAGCACCGGCUAACUACGUG